UGGGGAAUAUUGCACAAUGGGCGCAAGCCUGAUGCAGCCAUGCCGCGUGUGUGAAGAAGGCCUUCGGGUUGUAAAGCACUUUCAGCGAGGAGGAAGGUGGUGAGCUUAAUACGCUCAUCAAUUGACGUUACUCGCAGAAGAAGCACCGGCUAACUCCGUGCCAGCAGCCGCGGUAAUACGGAGGGUGCAAGCGUUAAUCGGAAUUACUGGGCGUAAAGCGCACGCAGGCGGUUUGUUAAGUCAGAUGUGAAAUCCCCGGGCUCAACCUGGGAACUGCAUUUGAAACUGGCAAGCUAGAGUCUCGUAGAGGGGGGUAGAAUUCCAGGUGUAGCGGUGAAAUGCGUAGAGAUCUGGAGGAAUACCGGUGGCGAAGGCGGCCCCCCUGGACGAAGACUGACGCUCAGGUGCGAAAGCGUGGGGCAGCAAACAGGAUUAGAUACCCUGGUAGUCCAGCGCUGUAAACGAUGUCGAUUUGGAGGUUGUGCCCUUGAGGCGUGGCUUCCGGAGCUAACGCGUUAAAUCGACCGCCUGGGGGAGUACGGCCGCAAGGUUAAAACUCAAAGGAAUUGAC
RNAcentral lists this ribosomal RNA (571 nucleotides) under uncultured bacterium. RNAcentral's name for it is "partial 16S ribosomal RNA". It matches the Rfam family "Bacterial small subunit ribosomal RNA", at positions 355 to 914 of the family's 1533-position model. The record is from RNAcentral.